GUGGAAGACUACUAAUUGGUCGGUUACUCCCUUUGGGUGGGAGACUUUGCGAGUUCGAGUCCCGCCUUCCACA
This 73-nucleotide transfer RNA is filed under the name Flammulina velutipes. RNAcentral's name for it is "tRNA-Pro". It matches the Rfam family "tRNA". From Rfam's summary of the family: Transfer RNA (tRNA) molecules are approximately 80 nucleotides in length. Their secondary structure includes four short double-helical elements and three loops (D, anti-codon, and T loops). The record is from RNAcentral. Lineage: Eukaryota; Fungi; Basidiomycota; Agaricomycetes; Agaricales; Physalacriaceae.